GUUGGUGAACCAGCGGAGGGAUCAUUACCGAGUUUACAACUCCCAAACCCAAUGUGAACGUUACCAAACUGUUGCCUCGGCGGGAUCUCUGCCCCGGGUGCGUCGCAGCCCCGGACCAAGGCGCCCGCCGGAGGACCAACCAAAACUCUUAUUGUAUACCCCCUCGCGGGUUUUUUUAUAAUCUGAGCCUUCUCGGCGCCUCUCGUAGGCGUUUCGAAAAUGAAUCAAAACUUUCAACAACGGAUCUCUUGGUUCUGGCAUCGAUGAAGAACGCAGCGAAAUGCGAUAAGUAAUGUGAAUUGCAGAAUUCAGUGAAUCAUCGAAUCUUUGAACGCACAUUGCGCCCGCCAGUAUUCUGGCGGGCAUGCCUGUCCGAGCGUCAUUUCAACCCUCGAACCCCUCCGGGGGGUCGGCGUUGGGGAUCGGCCCUUCCCUUAGCGGGGUGGCCGUCUCCGAAAUACAGUGGCGGUCUCGCCGCAGCCUCUCCUGCGCAGUAGUUUGCACACUCGCAUCGGGAGCGCGGCGCGUCCACAGCCGUUAAACACCCAACUUCUGAAAUGUUGACCUCGGAUC
RNAcentral lists this ribosomal RNA (573 nucleotides) under fungal sp. ARIZ L510. Its description in RNAcentral is "eukaryotic LSU rRNA". The stretch from base 229 to 382 matches the Rfam family "5.8S ribosomal RNA". Lineage: Eukaryota; Fungi. The record is from RNAcentral.